RNAcentral lists this ribosomal RNA (501 nucleotides) under uncultured bacterium. RNAcentral describes it as "partial 16S ribosomal RNA". It matches the Rfam family "Bacterial small subunit ribosomal RNA", at positions 30 to 523 of the family's 1533-position model. The record is from RNAcentral.
AUUGAACGCUGGCGGCAGGCUUAACACAUGCAAGUCGAGCGGGGGAAGGUAGCUUGCUACCGGACCUAGCGACGGACGGGUGAGUAAUGCUUAGGAAUCUGCCUAUUAGUGGGGGACAACAUCUCGAAAGGGAUGCUAAUACCGCAUACGUCCUACGGGAGAAAGCAGGGGAUCUUCGGACCUUGCGCUAAUAGAUGAGCCUAAGUCGGAUUAGCUAGUUGGUGGGGUAAAGGCCUACCAAGGCGACGAUCUGUAGCGGGUCUGAGAGGAUGAUCCGCCACACUGGGACUGAGACACGGCCCAGACUCCUACGGGAGGCAGCAGUGGGGAAUAUUGGACAAUGGGGGGGACCCUGAUCCAGCCAUGCCGCGUGUGUGAAGAAGGCCUUAUGGUUGUAAAGCACUUUAAGCGAGGAGGAGGCUACUUUAGUUAAUACCUAGAGAUAGUGGACGUUACUCGCAGAAUAAGCACCGGCUAACUCUGUGCCAGCCGCCGCGGUAA